This 592-nucleotide ribosomal RNA is filed under the name Aedes aegypti (yellow fever mosquito). Its description in RNAcentral is "partial AAEL017835-RA". It matches the Rfam family "Eukaryotic small subunit ribosomal RNA", at positions 21 to 606 of the family's 1831-position model. RNAcentral also lists the same sequence under 1 other name. Lineage: Eukaryota; Metazoa; Arthropoda; Insecta; Diptera; Culicidae. The record is from RNAcentral.
UAGUUAUAUGCUUGUCUCAAAGAUUAAGCCAUGCAUGUCUAAGUACACACGAAUUAAAAGUGAAACCGCAAAAGGCUCAUUAUAUCAGUUAUGGUUCCUUAGAUCGUUAACAGUUACUUGGAUAACUGUGGUAAUUCUAGAGCUAAUACAUGCAAUUAAAACACGGACCUUCUGGGACGUGUGCUUUUAUUAGACUAAAACCAAGCGAUCAAUUGAUCGUUAUAUUGGUUGAACUCUAGAUAACAUGCAGAUCGUAUGGUCUUGUACCGACGACAGAUCUUUCAAAUGUCUGCCCUAUCAACUUUUGAUGGUAGUAUCUAGGACUACCAUGGUUGCAACGGGUAACGGGGAAUCAGGGUUCGAUUCCGGAGAGGGAGCCUGAGAAACGGCUACCACAUCUAAGGAAGGCAGCAGGCGCGUAAAUUACCCACUCCCAGCUCGGGGAGGUAGUGACGAAAAAUAACAAUACAGGACUCAUAUCCGAGGCCCUGUAAUUGGAAUGAGUACACUUUAAAUCCUUUAACAAGGACCAAUUGGAGGGCAAGUCUGGUGCCAGCAGCCGCGGUAAUUCCAGCUCCAAUAGCGUAUAUUA